AUUUGUCAACGAUACCGCUGUAGAUGAAGUGACCCCAACUAAGUAAGCCAGAGGUGACAGCGGCAAGGAACCGAAACUCCAUCGGUGACAGAAUGGAGAAAAAAACCUUGGGAGAAACCAGGCUCAGUUGGGGUCAGUUCUCCUCUGACCAGACGAAACCAGGCUGCAGCAAAGUCAGAUUGUGCAGAAGAAUCAUCUGUUUCCUGUGGUCUUGUCCUGGUGCUCCUCUGAGACAAGGUCUUUACAGGGGAUCUGUAUCUGGGGCUCUAGUUGUCCUGGUCUCCGCUGUCUUUCGGGGCAGUAGAGGUCCUUUCUAGGUGCUGAUCCACCAUCUGGUCUGGAUACGUACUGGAUCCGGGUGACUGCAGUGACCCUCUGAUCUGGAUACAGACUGGAUCUGGUGGCUACGGUGACCUCGGAACAAGAGAGAAACAGACAAAUAUUAGAGUAUAUGCCAUUCUUCUAAUGAUGUAGC
Molecule: long non-coding RNA, 475 nt
Organism: Carassius gibelio (silver crucian carp)
Lineage: Eukaryota; Metazoa; Chordata; Actinopteri; Cypriniformes; Cyprinidae
Exons: 3
Source: RefSeq, a predicted model, not a curated record